Molecule: long non-coding RNA, 229 nt
Filed under: Mytilus galloprovincialis (Mediterranean mussel)
Lineage: Eukaryota; Metazoa; Mollusca; Bivalvia; Mytilida; Mytilidae
Source: RNAcentral
CUACAGUUGUUUGCUUAGAGUCAGAAUAGUGUAUUCAAAUGGGAUUACAGGCCUUAUGCAUCAAAACAUCAGUGCUUUUCCUUCUUAUUCUGUUUGAUAAAACUAGCAUGUAACACUUUAAAAAAAAAGAUAUCGCUCGCUCCUCUUGCAGACCACUCGCCUGUCAAAAACUCAUUUUCAAGAAUUUUUUAAAAACAAAAAAAUUUCGCUCGCUUGCCCCAAUUUUUUU